RNAcentral lists this ribosomal RNA (2896 nucleotides) under Pseudomonas poae. Its description in RNAcentral is "bacterial LSU rRNA". It matches the Rfam family "Bacterial large subunit ribosomal RNA". Lineage: Bacteria; Pseudomonadati; Pseudomonadota; Gammaproteobacteria; Pseudomonadales; Pseudomonadaceae. The record is from RNAcentral.
AUAUGGUCAAGUGAAGAAGCGCAUACGGUGGAUGCCUUGGCAGUCAGAGGCGAUGAAAGACGUGGUAGCCUGCGAAAAGCUUCGGGGAGUCGGCAAACAGACUUUGAUCCGGAGAUGUCUGAAUGGGGGAACCCAGCCAUCAUAAGAUGGUUAUCUUACGCUGAAUACAUAGGCGUAAGAGGCGAACCAGGGGAACUGAAACAUCUAAGUACCCUGAGGAAAAGAAAUCAACCGAGAUUCCCUUAGUAGUGGCGAGCGAACGGGGACUAGCCCUUAAGUGGCUUUGAGAUUAGCGGAACGCUCUGGAAAGUGCGGCCAUAGUGGGUGAUAGCCCUGUACGCGAAAAUCUCUUAGUCAUGAAAUCGAGUAGGACGGAGCACGAGAAACUUUGUCUGAAUAUGGGGGGACCAUCCUCCAAGGCUAAAUACUACUGACUGACCGAUAGUGAACUAGUACCGUGAGGGAAAGGCGAAAAGAACCCCGGAGAGGGGAGUGAAAUAGAUCCUGAAACCGUAUGCGUACAAGCAGUGGGAGCCUACUUUGUUAGGUGACUGCGUACCUUUUGUAUAAUGGGUCAGCGACUUAUUUUCAGUGGCGAGCUUAACCGAAUAGGGGAGGCGUAGCGAAAGCGAGUCUUAAUAGGGCGUCUAGUCGCUGGGAAUAGACCCGAAACCGGGCGAUCUAUCCAUGGGCAGGUUGAAGGUUGGGUAACACUAACUGGAGGACCGAACCGACUACCGUUGAAAAGUUAGCGGAUGACCUGUGGAUCGGAGUGAAAGGCUAAUCAAGCUCGGAGAUAGCUGGUUCUCCUCGAAAGCUAUUUAGGUAGCGCCUCAUGUAUCACUGUAGGGGGUAGAGCACUGUUUCGGCUAGGGGGUCAUCCCGACUUACCAAACCGAUGCAAACUCCGAAUACCUACAAGUGCCGAGCAUGGGAGACACACGGCGGGUGCUAACGUCCGUCGUGAAAAGGGAAACAACCCAGACCGUCAGCUAAGGUCCCAAAGUUAUGGUUAAGUGGGAAACGAUGUGGGAAGGCUUAGACAGCUAGGAGGUUGGCUUAGAAGCAGCCACCCUUUAAAGAAAGCGUAAUAGCUCACUAGUCGAGUCGGCCUGCGCGGAAGAUGUAACGGGGCUCAAACCAUACACCGAAGCUACGGGUAUCACGUAAGUGAUGCGGUAGAGGAGCGUUCUGUAAGCCUGUGAAGGUGAGUUGAGAAGCUUGCUGGAGGUAUCAGAAGUGCGAAUGCUGACAUGAGUAACGACAAUGGGUGUGAAAAACACCCACGCCGAAAGACCAAGGUUUCCUGCGCAACGUUAAUCGACGCAGGGUUAGUCGGUCCCUAAGGCGAGGCUGAAAAGCGUAGUCGAUGGAAAACAGGUUAAUAUUCCUGUACUUCUGGUUAUUGCGAUGGAGGGACGGAGAAGGCUAGGCCAGCUUGGCGUUGGUUGUCCAAGUUUAAGGUGGUAGGCUGAGAUCUUAGGUAAAUCCGGGAUCUUAAGGCCGAGAGCUGAUGACGAGUGUUCUUUUAGAACACGAAGUGGUUGAUGCCAUGCUUCCAAGAAAAGCUUCUAAGCUUCAGGUAACCAGGAACCGUACCCCAAACCGACACAGGUGGUUGGGUAGAGAAUACCAAGGCGCUUGAGAGAACUCGGGUGAAGGAACUAGGCAAAAUGGCACCGUAACUUCGGGAGAAGGUGCGCCGGUGAGGGUGAAGGACUUGCUCCGUAAGCUCAUGCCGGUCGAAGAUACCAGGCCGCUGCGACUGUUUAUUAAAAACACAGCACUCUGCAAACACGAAAGUGGACGUAUAGGGUGUGACGCCUGCCCGGUGCCGGAAGGUUAAUUGAUGGGGUUAGCUAACGCGAAGCUCUUGAUCGAAGCCCCGGUAAACGGCGGCCGUAACUAUAACGGUCCUAAGGUAGCGAAAUUCCUUGUCGGGUAAGUUCCGACCUGCACGAAUGGCGUAACGAUGGCGGCGCUGUCUCCACCCGAGACUCAGUGAAAUUGAAAUCGCUGUGAAGAUGCAGUGUAUCCGCGGCUAGACGGAAAGACCCCGUGAACCUUUACUAUAGCUUUGCACUGGACUUUGAAUUUGCUUGUGUAGGAUAGGUGGGAGGCUUUGAAGCGUGGACGCCAGUCUGCGUGGAGCCAACCUUGAAAUACCACCCUGGCAACUUUGAGGUUCUAACUCAGGUCCGUUAUCCGGAUCGAGGACAGUGUAUGGUGGGUAGUUUGACUGGGGCGGUCUCCUCCUAAAGAGUAACGGAGGAGUACGAAGGUGCGCUCAGACCGGUCGGAAAUCGGUCGUAGAGUAUAAAGGCAAAAGCGCGCUUGACUGCGAGACAGACACGUCGAGCAGGUACGAAAGUAGGUCUUAGUGAUCCGGUGGUUCUGUAUGGAAGGGCCAUCGCUCAACGGAUAAAAGGUACUCCGGGGAUAACAGGCUGAUACCGCCCAAGAGUUCAUAUCGACGGCGGUGUUUGGCACCUCGAUGUCGGCUCAUCACAUCCUGGGGCUGAAGCCGGUCCCAAGGGUAUGGCUGUUCGCCAUUUAAAGUGGUACGCGAGCUGGGUUUAGAACGUCGUGAGACAGUUCGGUCCCUAUCUGCCGUGGACGUUUGAGAUUUGAGAGGGGCUGCUCCUAGUACGAGAGGACCGGAGUGGACGAACCUCUGGUGUUCCGGUUGUCACGCCAGUGGCAUUGCCGGGUAGCUAUGUUCGGAAUAGAUAACCGCUGAAAGCAUCUAAGCGGGAAACUAGCCUCAAGAUGAGAUCUCACUGGAACCUUGAGUUCCCUGAAGGGCCGUCGAAGACUACGACGUUGAUAGGUUGGGUGUGUAAGCGCUGUGAGGCGUUGAGCUAACCAAUACUAAUUGCCCGUGAGGCUUGACCAU